This 497-nucleotide ribosomal RNA is filed under the name uncultured bacterium. RNAcentral's name for it is "partial 16S ribosomal RNA". It matches the Rfam family "Bacterial small subunit ribosomal RNA", at positions 28 to 507 of the family's 1533-position model. The record is from RNAcentral.
GACGAACGCUGGCGGCGUGCUUAAUACAUGCAAGUCGAGCGAACAGACGCGGCGCUCGCUCCACUGACGUUAGCAACGGACGGGUGAGUCACACGUGGUUAACCCACCUAUAAGACUUAAAUCACGUCGAGUAACCGUAGCUAAUACCGGAUAACAUUUUGAACCGCAUGGUUCAAAAGUGAUAGACGGUCUUGCUGUCCCUGCUGCCUGGAUCCGCGCUGCAUUAGCUAGUUGGUAAGGUAACGGCUUACCAAGGCCACGAUGCGUAGCCGACCUGCGAGCGUGAACGGCCACACUGGGACUGAGACACGGUCCAGAGUCUUACGGGAGGCAGCAGUAGGUAAGCGUCCGCAAUGGGCGAAAGCCUGACGGAGCAACGCCGGGUGGGUGAAGAAGGUCUGCGGGUCGGAAAACUCUGUUAGGAGGGAAGAACAAAUGUGUAAGGAACGAUGCACGUCUUGACGGUACCUAAUCAGAAAGCCACGGCUAACUACGUG